Long non-coding RNA from Solanum pennellii, 725 nucleotides. RefSeq lists it as uncharacterized. The record is from RefSeq and is a predicted model, not a curated record. NCBI's taxonomy places the organism in Eukaryota, Viridiplantae, Streptophyta, Magnoliopsida, Solanales, Solanaceae. The transcript has 2 exons.
CAAAUUCCUUCUGCUUUUUUUUUUUCUAGCAAGAACACGCCCAAAUCCAACCGUCCAAGACGAAACCCAAAAAACCAGUAAAUGUCAACAACGACAGCAACUCCAAACGGCGUGAGCAGUACUCCCUCACGUCCCAUUUCCCCUCCUUUUGCGGAAGUCACAACUUUUCACAUCAUUCGAAUUUCAAAUUCGAAAAUUUCACUCAUUUCACCCUCUAUAUAAACUACCCCUACCCAUCGUUGAAGGAAGGGGCGAGCAUAGGGAGUUUUUGGAUCGGAAAUUGGACUUUUUUUAUGGAUUAAUUUGCCACUUUUGAAGAAACAGAGAAUUUUCAUUAAGAAAUAGGAAUGUCGAAUAGCUAAAAUAGCACUUUAGGUUUAAGAUUUUUCUCGAGGAAAACGUCCUUUCUUUUUUUACUCCCGAGCAGUUCACCGGAACUCAUCUCGUGUGGUGUGGAAGUUGCUUCAUAGUCAAGCUCGUUGAUUCCAAUCGCUGAAAAAGGUUGAAAACAGAUAAGGAGGUAUGGGAGUACAAAAAUGGAUUAUAUAUCUUUGUAUACACUAAUCUGCACCUACUGGAUGUUGGUCUUGGUACACAAGAAUAUACAAAAAUAUAGACUCGCUUUAUACACUAUAUAAAUGCAGGGAAAUUGGGCUAAAACCCCAUAUAUAUGUGCAGAUUUUUGGUAGUUUUAGGAUAGGUUGGGCUAAGGCCCAAAAAUCUAA